GACGAACGCUGGCGGCGUGCUUAACACAUGCAAGUCGAACGGAAAGGCCUCUUUCGGGGGGUACUCGAGUGGCGAACGGGUGAGUAACACGUGAGUAACCUGCCCUUGACUUUGGGAUAACUUCAGGAAACUGGGGCUAAUACCGGAUAGGAGCUCCUGCUGCAUGGUGGGGGUUGGAAAGUUUCGGCGGUCGGGGAUGGACUCGCGGCUUAUCAGCUUGUUGGUGGGGUAGUGGCUUACCAAGGCUUUGACGGGUAGCCGGCCUGAGAGGGUGACCGGCCACAUUGGGACUGAGAUACGGCCCAGACUCCUACGGGAGGCAGCAGUGGGGAAUAUUGCACAAUGGGUGGAAGCCUGAUGCAGCAACGCCGUGUGCGGGAUGACGGCCUUCGGGUUGUAAACCGCUUUCGCUCAUGACGAAGCUUUGUGUGACGGUAGUGGGUAAAGAAGCACCGGCUAACUACGUG
This 467-nucleotide ribosomal RNA is filed under the name uncultured bacterium. RNAcentral describes it as "partial 16S ribosomal RNA". It matches the Rfam family "Bacterial small subunit ribosomal RNA", at positions 28 to 507 of the family's 1533-position model. The record is from RNAcentral.